GAUUAUCGCUAUCACAUGCAUCAGCAUUGAUAUCGAAAGGUACAGGCUCAUGGGCAGGAGGCAGCGUGACUGCAGCUCUAUGACAGCAGCACCAUCGACGAUUGAACUACCAUAUGCCGGUGUCACGAGGAUCCGACAUAUCAGGUUACACAUCUAAAUUUUUUUUAGACUUUAAUGACUUAAUUAUUUAUUCUUAAAUUAAAUUUAUUUUUUACUAAUUGUAUAGAGAUGAUGUGUCCAGAAUGCGGCAAACCGGACGAGAC
RNAcentral lists this long non-coding RNA (263 nucleotides) under Elaeis guineensis (African oil palm). RNAcentral describes it as "long non-coding RNA (EGUI_LNC013664)". The record is from RNAcentral. Lineage: Eukaryota; Viridiplantae; Streptophyta; Magnoliopsida; Arecales; Arecaceae.